This is a small nucleolar RNA of Choloepus didactylus (southern two-toed sloth), 80 nucleotides long. NCBI's taxonomy places the organism in Eukaryota, Metazoa, Chordata, Mammalia, Pilosa, Megalonychidae. The record is from RefSeq and is a predicted model, not a curated record.
CGUAUAUGAUGAGAUUUCGGUAGUGCUGCGAACUCCCGAAUGCGCAGUGGGGAAGCCAACCUUGGAGAGCUGAGCGUGCG